UACGAAGGGGGCUAGCGUUGCUCGGAAUCACUGGGCGUAAAGCGCACGUAGGCGGAUCGCUAAGUCAGGGGUGAAAUCCUGGAGCUCAACUCCAGAACUGCCUUUGAUACUGACGGUCUUGAGUUCGGGAGAGGUGAGUGGAACUGCGAGUGUAGAGGUGAAAUUCGUAGAUAUUCGCAAGAACACCAGUGGCGAAGGCGGCUCACUGGCCCGAUACUGACGCUGAGGUGCGAAAGCGUGGGGAGCAAACAGG
This 253-nucleotide ribosomal RNA is filed under the name uncultured bacterium. RNAcentral describes it as "partial 16S ribosomal RNA". It matches the Rfam family "Bacterial small subunit ribosomal RNA", at positions 524 to 776 of the family's 1533-position model. The record is from RNAcentral.